This is a long non-coding RNA of Acinonyx jubatus (cheetah), 12649 nucleotides long. RefSeq lists it as uncharacterized. The transcript has 3 exons. Lineage: Eukaryota; Metazoa; Chordata; Mammalia; Carnivora; Felidae. The record is from RefSeq and is a predicted model, not a curated record.
UUCUUAAUUAUUAAGCUGAUGAAAAUAUUAUAUGUUGAAUUAGGAGCUGAUUUACCAAAUACAGUUUUUUUAAACAUUGAAGAGAAAGACGUGGUUUCUUUUAGAAAGUUUCUGUUUUAAAAUACAGUCUGAAGAUACAUAAAGAAGGGAGAAGCACUGGCAGAUGCUGAACAUAAUGGCCCUCGUCUCGUAACAGACAAGAAGUGUAAGCUCCCUUAACAGGCUGUUAUUUGGGAACUAACCAACAGACACUGUGUGAGGCUCUUCUACAAGCUGAAUAUCUGAAGAUGUUAAAACCUCCCUGUGGGAUUGGCCUUCUUUUUUCUUAAUUUUGAGAUGGAAAAACACUGUUUUGAAUUUCUUCUUCGCUCCAGUUGGCCAGCUUCGUUGAAAAAAGGAGCGAUGUUUCCAGCCUCAUGGAUGAUCCAAGGAAGUUAUUCCUCAGCUAUCAGGAAGAAGCUGGAGCCAGUGGAAAUGUUACAACCCUGAAAGGGGAAUAAUGGAACAGGACUGAAGCUUUUAGGAUUAUAGCACUACCUCCCAUACAACUGAAAGGAAAUGGGUAACUAUGUGUGGAAACAGAGAGGCGGUGGUGACCAGUGUGCUCCAGACCUCGUCCUUUGUGCUGCUGCCUCUGGGCCGUGGAGUCCCAGCAAACACCUCAUACAGGUCUGCUUGCUUUGGAUUGCUUCUUCACAAAGGGGGAAGUGUGUUUCUUCCCUUGUCAUUUACCUUUUCCAAUGUUUCAUUUCACUAAUCUCUCUUCUUUUCUUAACAGCUUUACUUCCUUCAUUGUUGUUUUUUUCUUUACUUUAUUUCUAAUUGCCUCAUCUUGAAUGAGCUUCCAGUGUCUAAAAUUAGAAUUCUUCAGAAUCCUAAGAAGAUCUAAGGAGACAUUAAAUGUGUUCCACUUUCCAAAAGACAAAUCUGGAACAUUUAAAUUGUUUACUAAAGGUCAUAUAAUACUAGGAUUCAAAGUUCUUUACCAUUGGGACAUUUUAUCUAAGGAAUGAUUGGGAUUAUAUACAUCACACUACCUUUCAACCAGAAAUUUAUCAAGGAAAACCUGCCUUAUAGUAUGACCUUUGGCUUUUAUAAUUCAGAUUGAAAGAAUGCUUGCCCAUUUUGCCACUGAGCACAUUAGCAUCCUGUAUCUUCACAAGGUUAAUUUAAUGGACUGCUAUGCAUAUUGAUGAAUACUUCUGUGUUUUCUCAAAGUCACCAUAUUAGAAUUUCUGAAUGUUCAUUAGCCACAUAUGCAAUAGGAGUAGUCUAAAGUCAAUGAAUUUCUGUUAUGCCCUUUCUAAAACUGAUAUUAAAAUUGCAUAUGCAAAUUUAAGUUCAAAUUGUUGUGAUAAAAGUAGACAUGUAAGUAAAAAAACUCAUUAUUUUCAUUUUUCAAAGUUACUAAGUUCAUUAGUGGUUAUUUAUUGGGUUAAGACAUUGAAUCAGAAAAUGGGCCUCUGUCUUUCUCUGAGUAUUCAAGUUUAGAAAUGCCUUACUUAAAAUGCAAGAAAUUUCCAGUAAGUUUCCAGGCUGCAGAGAUACAUUAUUUAUGUUAACAAACUGGAAAGAGUUCAUUUGCUUUAAUAUUUAUAAGGGAGAUCAAUGAGACAUACAAUGCAGUAUUACUAAGCUCUAAAACCACUACAAAACAUAGAUUCAAUUAAUGUAAUGUUAACCAAAGAAUACACUCAGCAAUUCAUAAAUAAAUAAUUAUAAUAAAUGUCCAGAUUUUUAAGACUCUUUGGAAUACCCUACUGAAGCCAGCCAUUAAGCAAUGUAUUCUGCUAUCUAAAUCCAUUAAAAAAUGUAAUUUUAAGGAAAAUUACAUGCAGUCUUGCUCAGAGCAGAUUACAUAUUUUAAAGCUAUAUUGGUUUUUAAGCCUUUGAAGAUAAUAAGGAGGUUCAUUAAGCUAUUACAUUUGAGUUACUUGAAAUAUUGAAUAACCUCAGAAUGACCCAAUUCUAAAAGGUUUAAUUGGCAUGAGCUAUGCCAUGCCUUUUAAAUAAAAUAUUUUGUAAGGUAUUCAUAAAAACACUAAUUAUCAAAGCAUGUUUACAAUAGAUAAAUAAAAGUGAAAAAUUGCACUGGUAAACAAUUUCAGAAUAAAAAUGUUUGUAAAUAAAGUAUCUGAAUCAAAUGAAUUUAAAGGCUAGGGCAUUUGGAAAUACAAAAAACACAAUAUAUUUCUUUCAUAUAAAACUUUAAUAUGGGCCAGAAAAAAUAAUUUUGUUUUUUUCCCUUCAGUACAAGAUGUGAUUUAGGAGUAUAUUAAACAUUAACCAGCAAUUAAUAAGAAUUUUGAAAAAAAUUCAAAGGAAGUGAAAGGACUUUUUCUUAAAAUAUUUAUUUUAAAUAUGAUAUAGGAAUAGCACUAUGAUCAACAUUAUUCAAAUCUGCAUGUAGUGACUUGCAAAGCAGGGAGACUGAAAUCUAGGGAUUCAGUUCGAAUGCCCUACAGCUAUCUAAUCAAGCACAAGAGUUGCCAAUCAGCAUCACUUCACAAUUGACAUACGUUUUAAUUUCAUUUAUUAAAAAACUGUAUUAAAGCAUUGCAAAUGAAUCAGUUCAGAUAUUAAAGUGCAUGUAUCAGUCAGCUCAAGGGACUUUUAAGCUUUAUCAAAUACUUUGAUCUUGAUCAUAUUGAAAUUCCUUCCAGCAGUUUAUGAAAUGUUCAUGAAUUCUUGGAUGAAGACUAACAUAAGUGUUUAGAGUUAACUUAUAUUUGGGAAUUCUUUGUACAGUUGAUAUCAAUAGGUUUUUGCAAAAAACAUUAUGACUAAUUUUUUAAUUACCAUGUAAAAUGUUAAGUAUUAUAAUUAAGUAUAAUAUUCAGAUGAGAGUCACCACAUUUUAAAAAUGUAGUAAUAAAUGUUGUGUAUACCCUUCCAUAUUGAUUGGAUCCUUGCAAGUUAUUUCUUUCCCUGAAACUUUGAAUUUGUAGGAUAGAGAACGCAUGGUUUCUUUUGACUAUAAAAUAGUGUCAUAUUAGAAAUUAGGUGUUCUGUUGCUGUUGAUAAUUUGUACUGGUUCUUUUUUUUUUUUUUUUUUUUUACUGGUUCUAAAUUAUCCCAAGUGAUGAAAUUAUUUUCAUUGGUUUACUGACUUAGAAAAGCUCAAUUGAUAGUUAGCUCAAAUCAUGAAGCAAAAUGCUUUUGAUUUUUGAGAUAUUGAAUAAUUCAACAUAUUUUCUUAGUAAAAAGAACACUGAUAGAAAUAAAGGAAGCAGCUAUGCACUAGAGACAGUUUUAAACACACAGUCUCCAAAAAUGAAGACAUUUGUAUGCCUCUGAUAGCACUGAUUAAGUGGCCCAUCUCUGUUCCAGUUGGGGUACAUAAAAUGAAUGUAAGUGCUGUUAACAUAUGAAAAUUCACUUGUGCUGGUAAUUAUUGAAAGAAAAAGAAAAACACAGAACACUUAACAUUUUUUGAAAAAAGAAUUCACUGAAGAAGGUUUGUUUCUAUCUUCAUUCAACUGCCCUCUUCAUCAGCCAUUCCUACAUUCCAGAAGGCUAUAUACUUGACACAUCUAUUAUCUCUUACUAUCAGAUGCCAGGGAGACUCUGUAUAUUCAAAGCUUACAUGUUGCAUUAUAAAGCAAUAAUAUUUACUAUUUAUUUGUUGUUGUGGAUUUGGAUCUAUAUCAUGGCUUCACAACCAUAUGACUAACAAUAUUUUGUUUGGCAUGGGGAAAACACACUGCAAUUCUUGCAAUUUCUAUCAUGAGAAAAAAGGGCAAGUAACACACAUUUGUUAAAAUAAAAAAGUUUAGUGAAAACUGUUUUAUUUAGUUUUUUGGUUCUUUGAAAGUUGAUUUGAGGUCUUCUGCAAUUAGAAUAAUUUAUAGAUUUUGAAGUUUGAUCAAGUCAGAAGGAAAAAAAUCUUCAGUCUGAAUCUAGCAAGUAAGAAUGCCUAGUCUAUAAAAAUUAGAAGAAAAACACAACCAUAAUAAAACCAAAAAUAAGAUGAAAUUCUGAAAAUAAUGGAAUACAUAAAAAUUUCUAGGACACAGGGGUGACUAUGUGACUCAGUUGAUUAAGCAUCUGACUCUUAAUUUGGGCUCAGGUCAUGACCUCACGGUCAUGGGAUAGAGCCCCAUGUCGGGCUCUGCACUGAGCAUCAAGCCUGGUUGGGAUUCUCUCUCUCCCUCUCUCUCUUCUCCUCCUCUGUUCCUGUUCUUGCUCUCUCUCUCAAAAUAAAUUUAAAAACCUACAAAAAAUCCAGGACACAAUUUAAUUCACACAGUACAGGAAACUUGGGGAUUACACAAAUAUUUUCUUACUUUAAGAAACCAGCUUAAUAUAAGAGCUAUAAUGUCACUUACCAGACACAGCUCCUCUUAGCAAUGAAAUACCUUGAUUUAUUUCUCAAGUUGAUGUUCUUAUAUAAGACAACAUUUAUUUAAAAUUACAGAGGUACUAACAAGUAACGUGUUGGUCUAACUCAUUCAAUUAUUGUGCAGUCUAUUUUUAAAGGGGAUAUAGGAUUUAUUCACAAACAUGUGUGCACAUCCCCCACUGUGUAGAAAAUCAGGAGUCAUCAUAAUGAUAAUCUUGAUGAUUAAGAAGUCAGUUGAUAAUAUCAGCUGACAAUUGAUAAUAUAAUUUAUCUAUUCAGAAAUAUUUCCCAUGAGUCAUGGGACAGAACUCUGGGGAUAAAUUGUUUAUCUCAGCCUUCUGUACAAUGCAAAACUGACUGAUAUAAUGAAAUUUGACCCCCGUGUAAGCUACUUCUAUAGACAAACUCUAUCACAUGGUUGGCAAUCUGAAGUGAAAUACAAUCAAUUUCUUCAAUUCAAAAAAUAGAAUGACAGCUUUUCUAUCUUCUUGUUUGGACUAGAAACCAUACAUGGCUCAUUUGCCAGGGGACAUGAUGUUGAGCUAACUGCUUUUGAGUCCCCGCCAAAAGCUCCAUUUUCAAGAUUAUAUUUGGUAGUCAGUGGACCGUGGUAAAAAUUCAUUGUUGUAGGUUUUAAGCUAUUUUCUUUAUAUUUUAAAUUUGAUUACCAAGGACAUACCUGUUUUCUAGAGAAAGUUUAAAACUCUUCUAAAAAACAAAUCCAAACCUAUCAUGAUCUGAUAUAGAUUUUUUUUUUAAUUGCUGCACAUUUAAAAUAGAAAUAUCUUCCCUUCCUCACUAAAGUCAGCUGCUGGUGCAUCCUGGCCCUGUGCUCUCCCACUGCUUUGGCAGAUGCUUGCAGUCCACAACAGGGGACACCUAUUGAUCACAUGGCUCUGGUGGUCGGGUUGGGGGUGCAUUUCUGGGUCCUAAGGGACUGAAACAGAGAGACUGUUCUUGGCAGGCUACUAUCCCAGGGCACUUCAUAGCUUGCAGACUGAAACAUAUCCCUAGUCUUUCCGGAAAAAAAGUCCUAUUUACUCUUUGGAGCAUCUAGAGGCUAUGGAGGUGUUCUCAGAGAACACAGAUGAAGGCUGUCAUCUUUGUUGUCUCCCUUGGUUUCACUAUUGCUCACAGGUACCCUCCAGAAAGGAGCUUAUCUGAAGCCCAAUCGUGUAUCUGAUAAGGGGCUAAUAUCCCAAAUACAAAAAGAACUCAUAUAAGUCACCAGCAAAAUACAAACAAUCCAAAUGAAAAUUGAGCAGAGGAUCUGAAAGAUAGUUUUUCAAAGAAGACAUACAGAUGGCCAACAGGCAAGUGAAAAGAUGCUCAACAUCACUAAUCAUUAGGGAAAUGCAAAUCAAAACCACAAUGAGAUAUUACCUCACAGCUGUUAAAAUGGCUAUUAUCAAAAAGAAAAGAAAUAACAAGUAUGGGCAAGGAUGUGGAGAAAAUGGAAAGCUCAUACAGUGUUAGUGAAAUAUAAAUUGUUGCAGUCACUGUGGAAAACAGUAUCGAGGUUCCUGAAAAACAUUUACAGGAGAACUGUCAUAUGAUCUAGCAAUGCCACUUCUGAGUAUUUAUCCAAAGAAAACAAAAACACUAAUUUGAAAAGAUAUAUGCACUCUUAUGCUCAUUGCAACAUUAUUUAUAAUAUCCGAGACACGGAAACAACCUAAGUGUCCUCUGAUAGAUGAAUGGAUAAAGAAGAUGUGGUAAAUAUAUACAGUGGAAUACUACUCAGCCGCAAAAAGAAUGAAAUCUUGCCAUUUGUGAAUACACAUGGACCUUGAGGAUAUUAUGCUAAGGAAAUAUGUCAGGCAGAGAAAGACAAGUACCAUAUGAUUUCACUUAUAUGUGGACUCUAAAAAACAAAACAAACUAAUAAGACAAAACCAAAAUCAUAUUCAAAGAUGCAGAGAACAGAGUGGUGGUUGCUGGGACUGGGGUGAGGGGUUUGGGGUGCUUUUGGAAAAUGAGUCAAGGGGAUCAAGAGGUAUAGACUUUCAAUUAUAAAAUAAAUAAGUCAUGGGGAUGUAAUGUACAGCCUGGUGACUAUAGUCAAUAAUAUUAUAUUACAUAUUUAAAACUAGCUAGGAGAGUAAAUUUUAAAAGCUCUUCUUCGCACAAGAAAAAUGUUUUUAUAACUUUGAUGCUAGAUGGUAACUACACUUAUUGGUGAUGAUUUUUCAGUGUAUACAAAUAUUGAAUCAUGUGGGGGUGCCUGGGUGGCUCAGUCAGGUAAGCAUCUGACUUUGGCUCAGGUAAUCUCACAGUUCAUGGGUUCAAGCCCCAUGUUGGUCUCUGUGGUGACAGAUCAGAACCUAGAGCCUGCUUCAGAUUCUGUGUCACCCUCUCUCUGCCCCUCUCCUGCUCAUGCUCUCUCUCUCUCUCUCUCAAAAAUAAAUAAACAUUAAAAAAAUAAUAAUUUAAAAAUACUGAAUCAUGUACACCUGAAACUUAUACAUCUCAACUUUACCUCAAUAAAAAAAAAAUAGCUUUAGCUUCACUGUUAAGGAUGUAGUCUAUUGUCAGAUACAAUGACCCUGAGAAAAGGAUUCAUAUGAUACGUUCCUCUUAAUACUAGUAUUAGUCCAAUUUUUUCCUCUAAAAAGACUUAUAGGAUUAACUAUAAGAAGCUAACAGGAAUUUUUUCUAUUUAUUAUUUUCUGCCUUAUGCAGGACUCCAGUAAAUCUCCAAGUUAAAUAUAAUAUUCAAUUGCACUAACAAGAUUAUCUUCAGUUGCUGCUCAUACAACUAUCCCGACUUUCUUGGUGCUGUUGUCUUUCUAUAAAGCUAACUUCCCAAAUAUACAAAGAUAUAAAGAUACACAGCUAUACAUAAAUACAGAUAGGAAGACACUAUUUUAAUGACUAGGUAAAUGCAUAAUAUAAUGAAUAAUAUGUUACUGUGCUCUUCCAAAAAUAAUUAAUGAAAAAUAAAAAUUUCCCCAUAGAACUCAGAAUAUGUUGCCUCAGCAUCUUAGCAAUUCAGAAAAGAUAUUAUGAAGGGGUCAUUUUCAAGCUGUGUUCCGAAAGCACUUAGGGCAUUUUAAAAUAAAUUGUAGUCCAAUAUUGCUGACAUUCAGGAUGAAAGGGGAAUGGGGAGAAUUUAAAGUGAGGGAGAUAAGAAAGGAUAAUCCGUCAUGGGCCACUGCUUGAAAAGCUUUAUAUGGGAAGAUACAGGGCAAACUGCUGCCCCCAAGAUUGGAGAAACAGACAGGAGAAUCCGGGGGUUUCAUCUUACCAGAGCAGACUCAGGAGUGGAAACCACUGCAGGAACCAGCACAGGAGAAAACCAGAGCUGUAACUGUCCUCCUGCUAGAGGAGGACAGUGAGGACAACUCAGAGUUGAAAACUCCAGGGGGACACAGUCUUAAGAAGACUCCCACAGUACUGUGGGAAUGACCUCCAGGAGCUCAACCAGAUAGAUUCCCAGAGUAAGACUCUGAGAGAAAAGUACCCCCUGCUUCCUGUAUGUAGAGGAGAAAAGGAACCAUUUUGAAAUACAAAAGAGCUCUCGGUAUUUAACAAGGUCUGCCCUCAGGAGAAACUAGUUAACCGGAGUCUGACCUGUUGGGUAGUACCAGAGCCUAAGUAACCUGGGAAGCAGGAGGUAUAAGGUAAAUUAUAAAUAUUAAACUCUUCUAAAAAAUAUAGUAUUUAUAAUGAAAAUAACAACGACCACCUGUAUGUCACAUUAGAAAAUGUGUAUUUUAUUCUAUAGAUUAGUAUGUAGAAGAUACCAUUUUUUCAGGAGCACCUGGGUGGCUCAGUUAGUAAGCAUCUGACUUCGGCUCUGGCCAUGAUCUCAUGGUUUGUGAGUCUGAGACCCUCCUUAGGCUCUGCACUGACAGUGUAGAGCCUGCUUGGGAUUCUCUGCCUCUCUCUCUCUCUCUUUUAAAAUUAAUAAAUAAACUUAAAAAAAUAGAAGACAAUACUUUCUCAGAAUACAAAAUAUACUUCCUUGAGAAAGUCAAGCAAUACAAAAGUUAUAUAUUAAUGAAAACUUUGGAUCCCACUUCCUACAAAAUGGCAGAUUAGAAAGUCUGAAAACCUUCAGUAGAAAUAAAGGUUUCGACGGGGAAUAUAAUAAACAUAAGUAAAAUCAAUUUGCAUUCACAGGUAUUUUUGAUAAAUCACAAGGUGAAAAGGAGUAUGGAUGAUUCCACAGUGAAAAGCUAGUACUAAAGCCCAGGGUAUGUUAAGUGUACAUGGUGAUACGGAGAAUACAGAGCUUUGUGUGUGAAAAGCUGGCCAGCAUUCAGAAGGCAAGGCACUAGACCUGCACAACAUAUGCACUUGGAAAUAUAUCCUCCAGCUAAAGCUAGAAUUUCAUGGAGAACAUGGGUUAGGCAAAGAAAAUCAACUGCAAGCAAAACAAAAACAAAAACAAAAAACACAGCAACUAAAUAUAUUGAUGAUAAAAGUAAAAAGAAAGAAAGAAAAUGAAGAAAGGAAAAAAGAAGAGAGUAAAGGAAGACAGGAUAGAGGAAGGAAGGAAGAAGAGGAAAAUAAGACUCCCUAGUAUUUAGUAGCAGCACACCAAUUAUUCAUGCAAAAAGCCAUUCUAGGUUGAUAGCAAGUAGUGUCUUACAGAAGUAAAGCAAAACUUUUGAAGAAAAAGAUCCUUUGCACAAGUCCUUCGGUAAUUUAUAUGAGUCAAAAAAAAAGGACCCAAACAUAAAACCAUUGUAAAACAACUGCAGAGAAAAGUCACCUGAGUAAAAAAAAUUAGAAACUGAAUCUUCAAUACUCCCAAGAAAUUUUGACAAUGAAAUUAUGUUGUGAUUAUAUAACUGCCAUGUUUAAAGCAUUUAUAGAAAUAAAGAAGCAAUAGAAAAUUAUCAGAAUGACCAGGCUAAUCUGCAAAAGAACCACACAUGAGAGGUUCACAGGGAAAACAUGCAAUGCUGACUGGGAUGGUCGGCACCUCUAUUCCCACACGGAUGUUCACAAUGAAAACAUAUUCACAAGGAAAUGUGACUGUUCACGUGGAAAUGUAUGUGGUGCAAUGGUGAGAGCCAAUGUUGAUCAUACCCCAGAUCAUACCCCAAUGCUCCCAGAGUUGAAAAAAAAAUUGAAAUUUCAACCUCAUCUGUAAUAUGAUCACAAUUUUGAAAUAUAGAAAGUACAGAAAUUUUAUAAACAAGGCUCAUAAAGCUUUCUUUGCCAAUGGUAGCAUUUGGUAUAGUUCCCAUAUUUUCCUAUGUCAAUUUAUAUAUUUCCUAUGAUAGGACUGAUACUUAAAUUCAUUUUUAAAUGUCUGCAUCAUAUAGCAUUGAGUACACCUUAAAUUACUGAAAUAUUUUUUGGACAUCAAAAGUCGCAUUUUAUGCAUAUAGAUUUUUCUAUAUAUUAAGAUAUUGUCUCUUGACAGAUGCAGAUAUCCAUAUAACGAUGAGCAUUAUAACUGACUUAGAUUAUAAAAAUAUUUUUCUUCCUUACAAUACAUCACAAAUUUUUUUGAGGCUUCCCAAAUUUGUUAUGCAUCACUAAAAUAUGUAAAAAAUUGUUUCUUCAUACUCCUGCUCAGACAUAUCAUGGCUUUCUUUGGUCUUGUUUUGUUUUGUUUUCUAAUUUGAUCAGAAGAAAAUUUCUUGGGAUUAGAGAUUUAAUUAAUAUUUCUUUAGAAGAAUUGAAGUUUUUACACCACUAUAAUUAAUUGUCUAAUCAUGCUCAUUGCUUAGAAAAACAUCUUAAGAACAACAAUUUCCAUAAAACUAACGGAAUGUUGAUAUAAAAAUCAUCCAAUCUAUCCAGACACUGGCAAACUGCCCAGCCAAUGACACCACAUUCUGUGUUAUUUGUCUUCUUCCCCCUGCUAAAUGGAAAAAGACAUUUUACUUUUUCUCUAUUAGUUAUAUACUUAUCAUCACUCCCACCAACACAUACAUACACUUCUGUCACCUGGUCCAGUGAUUUGCACUCAAUCAAUGUUUGUUAAAUACAGUCUGCCAAUUGAAAAUAUGAACAAAUACAUCUCUCCUGCAAUGAUUGUCCAAAGCACAUUGUUGUGAAAUAUAAGCACUUCUGAUACUUGGUAAAGUGAAUUUCAGACUAUUGUUUGAAAUAUAAAAAGAUGACCUUCAAUUUCUGUUUUUUCUCAAUUUCUUGGUUUUAAUGUAGCAUGGAAAGAUAGAUGUUAUGUUUCUAUGGAGCUUGCUGAAUCUUUAAGUAUAGAACUCCUAAAGAGCAAGCUUUCCAAAAUCAUGGUCCUUAAUAUGCUCCUUGAAGUGUGAAUUAAGCACAUAAUCAGUAUAUCUAGGUAAUAGUCACAUUCAAUAAGCUAUAUUUUCCAGGUUUUUAUGUUUACUAAAUCCAUUUUUUUCCCUUUCAGACAGGAUAAGUAUAAAAACAAAGAUUAUGAGAAUACCUUUAGUAGCAACCCCAUAUUAAUGCAAAAUCAUUUUUCCUAUUUCUAAAAUAAUUGCUUUUUGUGUUUUCAUUGGGAGAGAUGCAAAUAUGAUUCAAAAAUUAAAGAUUUGGGGGAGAAAGAAGAAAAGGAUAGAAGGAGAAAAGAAAAAUAAGAGGAAUCAUUAUAGCACUUCUUAGAUGCAUAUAAUAUAAAAUGUGUUACCUUUUUAAUUUAAGAGAUAAGAAUACAAUUCAAGGUAGAUUUGUUAACCUCCAAGUAACUAAAUUUAUGGCUUAAAGUAAUUGAAAAUCUGUAAAUGACAACCUUUGUUAUAUUGUAUGUAAUUUUUAAAAAAAAUAUACUUUAAAAGGACAAAAUAAUGAUUUUUUAGUAUUAAGUGAAUAAAUGUAUCAUUAAAAAUGAGCCGUUCCGUUCUUUUUUCAUUGCUCUCAGAUUUACUAUAAUUUCCUCAUAUGAAAUCUUUACCUCCCUGAAUAACCACUAAGAAUUUAUUUACAACAAUGUAAGUUCUUAUCUUUACUCCCAGAAUAGAUUUUACUCUUUGUAUUUCUUCCUAGUCUUCACUGAGGUGUCUUUUAUUAUGGGACCGAUUAAUUAAAAAUAUUUGGUCAGGGUCAUAUAUUUAAUUCUAUUGACUUUCAACUACUUAAAGAUACAUUGGCUGAAGACUUGUAUGUAUGUGUAAGAAAAUGUUGACAACUUUAUAUCAAACUGCUUCACACAUCCUACAAGAUAAUCAAAAAACAGAGAACACUAAAAUUCAAUUUACAUGUAACUGGGGAAACCAACACUUGAAAAUAGCAGACGCAAGUGUGGAUCCCAUUUAUGAAGAGUAGCAAAUUUUAAGAAGUCUACAAAAGAGAAGGUUGUAUAAAGGAACCCCUAAGAGUGGUGAAAUGUAAAUAAAACUACCCCCAGAGGCAGUAUCCUGCCCUAGGUAAGGACGCUGAGAAUGGAUCUGAUCUGGUGCAUCAAAAAGAAAGGGUGUGAAAAGUACACAACUCCAGAGGAAACAAUAUACAGAAGCACAUCCAGAAACAAGGAGGAAAAAGAGAGGGGUUUGGUGGUGAAAAGGGAGAAGUAAUCAUGCUGUUCAAGUUCAUAAACCUUUGAAAACAAGACAGUAUCAUUGAAUCACAAGCAGAAGGCACAAUGACCAGCCCCCCCACUCACCAGCACACACACACACACACACACACACACACACACACACACACACACACAAAAGUACCAUUUAUUAAAGAGCUGAACUUCACUGCAACUCCAAAAUGGAAGGCUCUUAAAGAAAAUAAAUUCACCAUCCCAACUCCUUACCUCACUCCACCCAAUAUGUUACUGCUGGCAUAAAAAAGCCUGCAAAACUUUUUAUGAACAAUAAAAAACAAUUAUUUUCACGCAAAAUUACUGUAAGAAUUAAAAAAGUGCCAGUCAAUAAUUUUAGGUAUGAAAAAAUAGAACUUCCUGCUGGCAGGGGACAGGUAUGGAGAGGACCUGUCAAAGAGAGGUAAAUGACACAUCCUUUCUGCCUUUAAUGAAAAAAAUUAAAUAUGAAACUAGAUAUGUGAAAGAAACUCACCUAAUUUGAUAUAAAAACUCCUGACUGUAGGGGCAUCUGGGUGGCUCAGUUGGUUGAACGUCCGACUUCAGCUCAGGUUAUGAUCUCAUAGUUCCUGAGUUCAAGCCCUGUGUCGGGCUCUGUGCUGACAGCUCAGAGCCUGGAGCCUGCUUCGGAUUCUGUGUCUCCCUCUCUCUUCCCCUUCCCCACUCAUGCUCUGUCUCUCUAUCUCUCAAAAAUGAAUAAACGUUAAAAAAAUUUUUAAAAAAACAACUCCUGACUGUAAUGUACAAGUAAAAAAAAAAAAAGAUAUGAGAUAAGAACAAACUGAACCAAAGAAAAACAACUGAAAAAAAAGACAUCAUCUCAGAGA